Molecule: ribosomal RNA, 202 nt
Filed under: uncultured bacterium
Lineage: Bacteria
Description: partial 16S ribosomal RNA
Rfam family: Bacterial small subunit ribosomal RNA
Source: RNAcentral
UACGAAGGGUGCUAGCGUUGUUCGGAAUCACUGGGCGUAAAGCGCGCGUAGGCGGCUUAGCAAGUCAGAGGUGAAAGCCUGGAGCUCAACUCCAGAAUUGCCUUUGAAACUGCUAAGCUGGAGUAUCGGAGGGAUUGCGGAAUUGCUAAUGUGAGAGGUGAAAUUCGUAGAUAUUAGCAGGAACACCGGUGACGAGGACGGC